UAUUUCCUUUGUUUUCCAUUUCUCUUAGGGUUAGGACCCUAACAACUGGUAUCAGAACUCCAAAUCAUGGGGCCGAGGAGAGCUGGAGAUCCACCACAAUAUUCAUCAACACAGCCGCGUCCACCUGACCCAAGUUCAGAAGCUGACUAGUUCGCUGGCCCACAUGGACCUGUUCGUGACUCCUCCGCCGCUAGCACAGUUCACUGCCAGCCCGCCUCCUCUUCUAGACGGUGCCGUUUCGGCUCAGCCGCACAACAACCCUGCAUCCUUUUACUGGGUAAGUGAUACUAGCACUAGAGUUUCUAAUCAGUUCAAUUUUUGGAAUGAUGAUUGUAGUGGUGUGGGCUCAGUGUUUGGUGCUAAAUUAAAUGUUAUUGAUGAGAAGUUAGGGAAUGGGGAAGGAGAGAGUUCUAAUAAGAGGGCUGAGGUGAAUAUGGGAGAUGGUAGAGAGUUCAAUGAGCUUGAGAGUGUUAGUUGCUAAGCAGGAUGAUUCGGGAUUGAGUUUGUGUGGGGAGAGGACAGAAUGUAACGUUGAUGAAAGUGGAAAAGGGAUAUUGGAGAAUGAAAUCGAGUAUGAUCAGAACCAUUCAACUCCAAAUUUGAAUAUUGGCUUCAGCAACACCAACACCUUUAAUCAACCACAGUCAAGCAACACAGGUGGCCUCGAUGGUUUAGCAUGCAUUUCUGGUCUGUAGCUCAAGGUGUUGCCAUUUUACCACAACCAAUACCUGCUACAAGCCCAAUUGGAAUGCUUACCAUGCUGCCUCAGAUGUCAAUUGCUCAUGUGGGAACUACACCAUCAAUUCAAUAUGGAAUUUCAAGCAUCCCUGUCAUACCUGAUACUGGGUUAAAUAGUGUUAAGUCUUAGUUAAGUGUGAUGGAGAUGGCUGCUUAUAUGGUGAAGAAUGAAAGUUUUGGGAGUGAAAUUGGCAGAAAUGGGGAACCCGCACUUCUAGGGUCGUUAUCCCAGCUACCGUCAGCCAUCAAAUCAGUGAGCUCGCUGCUGUCACCGCCAAUUCAAUCUUUUCCAAGAUCAACUCAGUUUAUGUCUCCAACUAGAGGUCUUAUACUAGAGAAGGGAGAUGCUGACAAAAAGAAGACUGGUGAACUUACAGAGCUUGAUAAUAUAUCGAUGAUGGUAGGAAAUUACUUUCAGUAUGCUUUACCUAAGUGCUGUGGGUAUGGAAAGGAUAUUGGUACAUGUUCUGUGGUGAAUGUUUUUAAUGCAUUGUGUGUAAUGCUCACGCAUUACAUUGAGAGUCCAAAGAAGAUUAGUCACUAUGUACUGCAACUAUGCUUGUCUGGAUUUGAUAAGAAGGUUCGUGAUAAAGGUAGUACUCUCUUAACAAAUGAACUUUUUAUGGAGUACUUUGCAGGGACAAUGGCAUCUGGUAAUAGCUUGAAAUUUACCUUUUCACUAAUAAUGACUUUGAUUGAAUUAUGGAGUUAUGGAUAUGUUGAGAAAAAUAUAAGAUGGUUUACCAAAAUUUCAGUGAUUAGUUUUGGAAAUGGAUGGUUCGAUUUCCACCAUGAUCAUGGGCUUAUCUCUUGUGGCAUUGAAUUCAAUAGUUUCUUGGUGAAUAGAAAUGAUGGACACAUAGUUGUUCUAUGCCCCAACAUGUUCAAAGAUGGGUUUAAUUUGGAGUAUCAGUGGGAAACAAAAGGAUCUGGGAAUUUGCUUAUGCUAGCUUGUCCUCUGCAUGUGAAGCUUCUUAAGAAUGAUGUACUGGUUUCGAAUCACUUGCUAAACUGAAUUUGCUUAUGUGAACUAGUUCUAUGUGUUCGUAAAGGAGUUGGAGAAAGCACUUGCUAUUUUGCUUGUGAGUUUGCUCAAAAUUACGGCAGAUAUUAGAGAGCAGAUUGAGCUUCUUCAUGGGCAAGCAAAAAGGGCAGAGUUGUAUAUUGACCUUAAAGAGAUGAAAAUGAGAGAAGAGCUUUUGGUAUUGAUGGGGAGCAACAAUGAGAGGAACAAGAAGAACAAUGGGUUUGUAGACUUGGUUAUUGAGGAAAUUAUUGAAUUUCUCCAGAUCAACUUAGAGUUCUCAUCUUCGAGGUACUCUUUUGGUCUAGUUGUUCCAAUUACUACUAUUGCUAUUCAAUUAGUUGGAAAGAAGCAUAUCUUGGAUCUAUUGCUAGCUACGCUAUUUGGGAAUGUCCCACAUGUUUUUGGAACUUUGAGUGUUAUUAUUCUUGUCAGUAAACUAAAUCACAAGAAGGAAUCACUUGAUGUUACUUGCCUUGCGACCAUCUUCUUUGUUAAUUAUGUAUUAUCUCUGCAUAUGCAACUUGGGGAGAAAUGUAUGCCACCUCAAAUAGUGGAGUUUACUCAACAUUACAUAACAAAGAAAGAUUUGGUCACUUUUUGGAUUUGGGUUCCUACACUGUCAGUUCAAAAGUUUGGAUUCUUAACUCGCAUGGUUUGAUUGUGAUCAAGGCUCAUCUAUUAAUUGGUGACAUAGUCCUGAUAAGAGGGCUUAUGUUUGAUAUUGAAUCUCACAUCACUCCCACUGGAGCAGUUGCUACUAGACUUAUUAUCUAUUCUAGUGAAGACUUGCACAUUACCAACUCAGAUUCACAUAUGGCUCACUAUAACAUGUGUUUGCGGCACACAAAGGGCAAGGUGAGGGAUAUAAUGAGCAACAUUUGUUUGAGAAUCUCAAUGAAUCAUGAGGAAGAGAUUUCAAAGCUAGAGGCAGAAGCUCAAAAGCAAACAGGGAGUGGUGGACUAAUUGUGGUGAUUCUAGAUAUCGAGAAGUACUUGGGGGACGCAAUUGAGUCAUGGUUAGAUGAAACUCUUGGUAAAAAUGGUUCUUGUGAGAUUAAAUGGGGUGGCAAUUUUACUAAACAAGGAUCAUUGGAUUAUGGUGCAGCCUUUGGGUUUGGACUUUACAUUAAUCACCAUUAUCACUUUGGGUUACUUUCUGUAUGGGAUUUCGGUGCUUGCUAAGAUUGAACUGGAAUGGGAGAUGAGGUAUGAGCCUCAAGUUGAUUCACUUGCCGCAGAUUUCAUGAACCUAGACAAGAGGACAGAUUUCUAUUAUUCCCUGGUGAGAUGCUUUGAUUUGUAUAGACUGCAUUCCUGGGCAGGAGGGGUGAGUUACAAGGAAACAAUGCAGGAUGGUUAUGUAAUUUCAAAAUUCUGGUUUGAGAUUAUGGCUAUUUGUCUGAGCAGCAGAUUAUUUCUUAAACUUGAGGUCAAGUUUCAAUUGAAGAGGGGUGGUGUUGUUAGGACCCAACUAUGUGAUCAACCGAGCCCAAACUUGUAUCCAGGCCCAGAAUAGAUAUUUUGGUUGUAUAAGCCCAAAUUAGGUCCAAAUAUGUAAACGAAGUCAUUUAUUUCGACUAUAUAGCUGGAGUCCAGCUGCAUUGUAAAGAAUCGUCAGAGAAUUGAAUUGAAUUUGGCUUUUGUUUUUCUA
RNA transcript from Rosa chinensis, 3416 nucleotides. RefSeq lists it as uncharacterized. Lineage: Eukaryota; Viridiplantae; Streptophyta; Magnoliopsida; Rosales; Rosaceae. The transcript has 2 exons. The record is from RefSeq and is a predicted model, not a curated record.